CAAUAGCGUAUAUUAAAGUUGUUGCAGUUAAAAAGCUCGUAGUUGGAUUUCGGGGUGGCCUGGCUGGUCCGCCGCAAGGUGAGUACUGGUCAGCCGCCCUUCCUCUCGAAAGCCCCGACUGCUCUUUACUGCAGUGGUCGGGUAGUUCGGGACGUUUACUUUGAAAAAAUUAGAGUGUUCAAGGCAGGCUAUCGCCUGAAUACAUUAGCAUGGAAUAAUGGAAGAGGACCUCGGUCCUAUUUUGUUGGUUUCUAGGGCCGAAGUAAUGAUUAAGAGGGACAGUUGGGGGCAUUCGUAUUUAAUUGUCAGAGGUGAAAUUCUUGGAUUUACGAAAGACGAACUAGUGCGAAAGCAUUUGCCAAGGAUGUUUUCAUUAA
This 377-nucleotide ribosomal RNA is filed under the name uncultured eukaryote. RNAcentral's name for it is "partial 18S ribosomal RNA". It matches the Rfam family "Eukaryotic small subunit ribosomal RNA", at positions 592 to 976 of the family's 1831-position model. The record is from RNAcentral.